Molecule: unclassified non-coding RNA, 4124 nt
Filed under: Nilaparvata lugens (brown planthopper)
Lineage: Eukaryota; Metazoa; Arthropoda; Insecta; Hemiptera; Delphacidae
Description: microsomal glutathione S-transferase 1-like, transcript variant X2
Source: RNAcentral
UCUGAUCUGAUCCUUAUUUAUUUAAACAAAUUUUAAGAAUAGAAAGCUUGGAGUCAGCCUAAAGUUUUUGGAGUCUUUUUAAAAAUAAUUUACAGUUUUUUUCACAUGUUUGAAAUUUGAUAAACUGCGAUUCUGCAAUGGAUUUCUAAGGCGAAGAGUAUGGAUGCUGCAGUCUAGUCCAGAUGCAGCCAGGUCAAGGUCAAUGACACAAUCACAACAUCAAGGACCAGACAUGGGCAGCAAUGAUUGGCCAAUCAAUGAACUGGAUCACAAUCAAGACACCAUUGAAGAAAAAUAUCACCCUCAACAAAAUUUGGACGAUUCAGCACAUCCAAUUGAAUUGAAAGUUAUCAAGCCAGAGGAACUAGUUGAAGAAGGAGAAGAAGAACAACAUGGAGGAACAGUGAAAGUAGAAGAUGAUACAGAGAUGCAGAUCGAGACAAACUAUUAUAUUUUACCAGAUACACUGAACUGUGAUCCCAAUAAACCUGAGCACUUGAAAAUGAACAAUGAAGAAGCAAUCGAGGAAUUAGAACCAUUUGGAACCGAUCAUUCAGAAACAUUGAUGCAAAUCCAAGACUAUUCUUCGGGUACAUCAAAUGGAAAUUCUGCAAGAGAAAGAAUAUCUUCAGAAUUAUUUAUACGAAGGUUUGAUGGGCAAAUAUAUGCAAGUUCCUCUGAAAGGUCACCAUACAAUGCCAAUUCGUUGACAAAAAAUACCAAACAAGACUGCAAUGAGUUGGCUUCAGUACUUGAAAAUGCACAGAAUAAUAGAGAUACGUGCUUCAACUGUAAAUUUUGUGACCAUUCCUGUAAAACUUCAUCCCAGCUCAGACUACAUUUGAAGAUGCAUACAAGAGAAAAGACUUUCAGCUGUGAUUUUUGUGAGUACAAAGCAAAUAGGAAAUCAAAUCUCUACCGACAUUUUAAAACACACACAGGCGAAAAACCCUACAGCUGUGAUUUUUGUGAGUACAAAUCAGCACAUAAAGUAAACCUCAUCACUCAUUUGAAUAGACACACAGGAGAAAGACCCUUCAGCUGUAAUUUAUGUGAGUACAACGCAGCACAGAAAUCAAGUCUCAACGCUCAUUUGAAGUCACACACAGGAGAAAAAAACUACAGCUGUGAUUUUUGUGAGUACAAAGCAGCAAAGAAAUCAACCCUCAUCACUCAUUUGACGACACACACAAGAGAAAAACCCUACAGCUGUGAUUUUUGUGAUUACAGAGCAGCUACCAAAUCAAGUCUCAGCAGGCAUUUGAAGACACACACAGGAGAAAGACCCUUCAAUUGUGAUUUCUGUGAAUACAAAACAAUUCAAAAAUCAGUUCUCAAGAGGCAUUUAAAGAAACACACAGGAGAAAAACCCUACAACUGUGAUUUUUGUGAUUACAGAGCAGCUAACAAAUCAAAUAUCAUCAGGCAUUUGAAGACACACUCAGGAGAAAGACCCUUAAGUUGUGAUCUCUUUGAAUACAAAACAAUUCAAAAAUCAAUUCUCAACAGGCAUUUAAGGAAACACACAGGAGAAAAACCCUACAGCUGUGAUUUCUGUGAUUACAGAGCAGCUAAGAAAUCAUCUCUUACCACUCAUCAAAGGAAACACACUGAGGAAAGAGCGCAACUGUACAUGUAACCACAAAGUAGCAUGCCAAUCAAAUCUCAUCAUUCAUUUACAAAUAAAAGACUCUUCAACACCAAUGACAUCUCACGUAAGAUCCAAUGAUGCACACUGGUGAAAUACCCUACAUCUGUGUUCUUCUGUACUUGAGAUAAUUAUCUCGGGCCACACCUGUGUUUCGGAUGGACACGUUCAGUCGUCGUUCCCGGCUGUCUAAAAAAGAAGUCGUUAGGUCAGUGAACACUCUGACACCAGACCCAAGCCAGCCAGGUUACUCGAUAUUAUUAUAUAUGUAGUUAAAUAUAUAUAACAGCAGUACUCAUAACUUUAUUUUCGUAUUGUCUUGUUGACAACGCAUUGUUUUACUUCUUAUGUAAACUAGUAAUUUAUACAACCACUCAACAUGACCUCUUAGCUCUUGUAAAUGUACUUGUAAAUGUCUUGGAAAUGAAAUUAUUUCAACUUACAAUCAUUUAACUGGCACAUGAACUUAGGGCCUGCGAUCAGUUUUUGUUAUAUAUCCUCUCCCAUUCAACUCUGGAAUCUCUGAUACCUCAAGACAUUUCAUCUUGUUCGACAAAAAACUACGAGUUUGAAAUUUUAAAUUUGUGAUCAUGAAAACUAAUUGUUUUUUAGAAACAUGCAAUUGUGGAAUGAUUCGGAUUCAACAACAAGAACUUUUCUCCAACGAGAAAAACAAGUGUAAACUUGACUAAAUCAACCCACAUCUGCAAGAACCUUUCUCCAACGAGAGAAAAACAAAUAGAACUCAUCUUAAUCAAAGCAGAGCUACGUGAACUUUUUCACAAUGAUGAGAACUUCAAUACUGCAAUACUGAUUGGAUAAUCGACAUCAUCAUCAACCUCACACUGGCCAGUGGCCACCGCAGAAGACGAAAGGGGCAGGAAGCUCGCCAGAUACAGGAAGGAUUCCCGCAGUGCAACGGACGCUGCUGGCAACAACCUCAAUCGACUAUCUUUGCUAAUCCAGAAGAUAAGCUACCAAAGUCUGUGGUCAAAUAUGAUGAUCCUGAUAUUGAAAGAGUCAGACGAGCGCAUCUGAACGACUUGGAGAAUAUACCGGUCUUCAUGGUGGCUGCUCUGCUCUACAUCGCGACAAACCCCUCCUAUUGGCUGGCGCUGACCGUGUUUCGUGUGUUCACUGUCGCGCGCAUCGUUCACACGAUCGUGUACGCGGUCGUGGUCGUGCCGCAACCUGCACGCGCGAUCGCGUGGGGAGUCGGCUAUGCGGCCACCAUCUACUUGGCUGUACAGGUCAUAUUGUUCAGUCUCUAACAACUCAUGGUAAAGCUAUAAGUUUAGCACCGCACACACACAUCGAUUUUCGUUCGUACGGUAUUUUGCCGUCCUUAUAAAUUCCAUUUAAUUAAACAGAUGAUGUUUGUCAAGUUCUGUUUAAUCUGUUAGAAUUCAAAGGACGGCAAAAUACCGUACGAACGAAAAUCGAUGUGUGUGCUGUGCGGGGCUUUAGUUGGACAAAUCAUUGUUGAAAUAGGUGUGCUAUGAGUUAGUUGAACAAUCUUGAAAAGUAAAAUUCUUGGAGAUUGAAAUUUGAGCGAUUGAAAAAUUUAUUAACGUGCUACAGUUGGACAUUUUUCAUAGAUAGUAUUCUUGGCGAUUGCAUGUUCAAUGAUUAAAUAAUGAGUUGUUGGAAUAUGUGUGCUGUAUUUGAACAAUUCUCAUAUAUAAUAAUAUUUCUUUGCGAUCGGAAAUUGAUCGAUUGAAUGAUUAAUUAAUGAGUUGUUGGAAUAGGUGUUGCUGUAUUUGAAAAAUUCUCAUAAAUAUAAUAUUCUUUGAAAUUGAAAAAUGAAUUGUUGGAAUAGGUGUGCUGCAGUUGAACAAUUUUUAUGAAUAUAAUCCUUGGUUAUUUAAAUUUUAUCGAUUGAAAAAUGAAUAUUGUUGAAAUUUAAUGUGCUAGUAGUAAUAAUAUCGAAUGACCUGGCUGUCUCAGGUCUGUUGUCAGAGUUCUCAGGUCGCACCUAAUCAAUUUCAGGGCUGUUUGUAGCCAGCCGGGACCGACGAUUUAACGUGUCCCAUCGAAAUACGUUAUGUGUGCUAUAGUUGGAAAUAUUAUAAAAACACUUCACUUAUAAUGGGCUAAUUUAUUCAAAUUAAUAAAAACAAUAUAAAACUUGUAGUACCCCUGUAUUAAAACUUUGAAACUUUUGUAUUACAUACAAACUGUAUCUUGUAUCUAUCUCUCCUACAUGUUUGCUAUAUUGGUACUAGUUGUAUUUUUUUGUUAAACUACUAUAUUUAUAUGUAUGCGUAUGGUACGAGCAGCAAAAUACAAGGAUACACUAUCUACACAUAAUACAUCCAGCAAGAAUAUAUAGUUGAACUACUUUCUAGUCCGAACUCAGAAAAAUGUGCAUAAAUCGCGCUAAUUUUUACCAUAUUUUGAUCCGCACUUGUUUUUACACUAUUAUAUUUUACUACUACAAGAAUUAUGAGGUCAAUAAAAGUUUCUCAUAUUCAUC